UGACCCUCGGAUACGGGUCAAACAGUAAAGUGCUUUCUCUGAGGUGAAUCCAAUAGUUUAGAUAUCCCCGCACAGAUGUUCUCGAAUGCGCCGUUCUCUUUGUUAGAAAGCCCUCUUGCUGCUUGAAAAGGAGCUCAUGACAUAAAUUGACACUAUUUAAUGUCUCGAGUAGGCCAAUUGCCUUUCUUACCUUUGCUGGUGCUUGAGUUUGAUUGGAUGAGGAUUGAGGAUUAGCAAUGAUUCUCCAGCCAUUUUUUUUACCUGGCAAGUCUAACUAGAUCUUUAUCUCUUGCUUGCUUUCAUUCUUUUCAGCAACUCGCCAGACUCGAACUGGCAGGGCUCUGAUCAAGCCUAUUUUUCCGACAAUAGAGUUGCUUUUGGUACGCAGUUCGAGAGGCUUAAAUUUCAGCCUGGCUCUGAUCAAGUCUAUUUUUCCGACAAUAGAGUUGCUUUUUGUACGCUGUUCGAGAGGCUUAAAUUUUAGCUUUCCUACAUCUGCGGGCAGACCUCUUAAACGAAUCCUCUAUCCGGACUCCCCCUAGAACCUCUGUCUGGUCUAUGGACUACUUUAAGCUUGAUAGCUCCUGUCUCAUCACUUAAAGCGUAAGCGGCUCACCAGUCCACCCACCCUUCACUAAGAAGAUGCGGCACCAUUAACUUUUUUUUUAUAAUAGAAUUGGAGCUAGCCCUUGCUAGGUGGCCCUCGUAUAUAGUAGUAAGGAUUCUUUCCAGUUUUUGUAAAGAAAGAACUUUUUUUUUAUAAUAGAAUUGGAGCUAGCCCUUGCUAGGUGGCCCUCGUAUAUAGUAGUAAGGAUUCUUUCCAGUUUUUGUAAAGAAAGAGCUUGUUUGACAAAGAAUUUCUAACUAAUAGACCUUUAACUAAAUUUACCAUUUCUUGUGAAGUUUUCUCUUGUUUUGAGAAGUUUUUAAUAAAUACAAGUCUCUUUCCCUUAUUCGCUUUCUAAUUUAGUAAAGUAUUCCAUCAGCGUCUUCCUAGUAAACUCUGCAUGUUAGCGACCAAGCUCUCUUUUUGCUGAGUCCAAAAUGGAUUGGGAUCCAAAUGGGCCAUCUGAGCGGAAAUACCUCUCUUUAACCUUAUUAUCGCAUCAACUUCAUCGUCGUUUACGUCACGUUGUGGAGUCACAGUUGAAAGAUGAUUUUUAAUGGUGUCGUGUUGAAAGAUCCAAACAGGAUCCUUACAUGGAUUGGGAUCCUGAUGUGCUGGCGACUGCGGUUCAUUUCUAGCAUACUGAGGUUGGAUGGGGGCCGGUUGAUCCCCAAAAUCCCCCUCUCCCGGAAAAGGAAGUUGUGGUUGGGCAGAGGCAGGGAUCUUCUCCAGUGGUCAUUAGUAAUGCACUUUGUGGUCCUUAUUGGGUUGAGGUUGGAUGGGGGCCGGUUGAUCCAUAAAAUCCCCCUCUCCCAGAAAAGGAAGUUGUGGUUGGGGAGAGGCAGGGAUCUUCUCCAGUGGUCAUUAGUAAUGCACUUUGUGGUCCUUAUUGGGUGCUGGCGAAGCAUAAGAGGAGAUUCUUAACGUCAGGAAUAUCGGCCUUAGCAUCUUUCUUAUUAAAAAUUAGAUUCUCUUUCUCUACUUGAGAAGAAAAAGAGGAGAUUCUUAAUGUCUGCAAUAUCGGCCUUAGCAUCUUUCUUAUUUAUAAUAAGAUUCUCUUUCUCUACUUGAGAAGGUUCUCACCAGGCAUACUAUUCAUCGGUUAUUUUGCCCUUUGGGAUUGAAACAACCUAAUAAGGGUUGUCACCUACAUAACCUACCUCCGGAAGAAGGUCUCAGAUCACUGUAGUUCGAGCCCUUUUGUUAAUGCAGUUCCUGUACUUUGAAUGAAUUCAAGCUAGUAAAGUAGUCUGCUUAAAGGGGGCGCUCCUCACCUCUCCCCCUUCCCCUUAUCAUAGAACCAAAAACUAACCAUGAUACAAGGGCCUGCCUCUCAGUACGUGAAAACGGAAGUGAAACUCUUUCACUGUCUUACUUUGGCCCCUCUCUAGCCAAAUCAAAAAAUUUGAACAACCCCCGAGACACCAAACAAAUUCCCUAGAACUCACGCAUAUACCAUGUCAGCCUCCACUUCAGUACUUGAAAACGGAAGUGAAACUCUUUCACUGUCUUACUUUGGCCCCUCUCUAGCCAAAUCAGAAAAUUUGAACAACCCCCGAGACACCAAACAAAUUCCCUAGAACUCACGCAUAUACCAUGUCAGCCUCCACCUUCAGAUCCUUACUGUCCAUCUUUAUCAGCCAACUCCCCCGUUUCCAAAAACCUUAUCCACCACUAAGAAAAGGUGCCUUAGCGGCUAUGCUUCUCCAGUGCCCGACCAGAGACGCCGCUCUCCCCCGGAUGUUGUAAUUCUUCUAGUCUUUAAUUUUCUUCCCCGCAAAUAAAGAGAACAAGUCCUAGUAGGAGAAGAAAGAGGCCGAGUCCCUCGAUCCACCCCUCUAGCCACCCCAGGUUUGGAAUAUACGCAAAAAAGUACAAUAAUGCCCCAAAAAGUAAGGGGAUUAGAGGUUGUUUUGCCGGUAGGAUAUUCCUUUGAAAAAGGAAGAAACCUAAAAAGAUAAAUAUAUGACAGAAGAUAAAAAGGAAGGGAAUGGGGCAAGAUAUGUUAUCCCCGCCCGGCGCCGACGCUAUGGAAAUUACCCCUAAACUUGUACUCGAAAAAAAAUAAAGCCAAAAUGCAAAAAGAAAAGAUAAAAAGGAAGGGAAUGGGGCAAGAUGUGUUAUCCCCGCCUGGCGCCGAUGCUAUGGAAAUUACCCAUAUACUUGCAAUAGAAAAAAUGUAAAGCCAAAAUGCAAAAAGAAAUCCAACCCUUCCGCGUUUUCUAAAGCAAAGGAAAAUUAUGCAAGCCCCCGACACAAGGGCGGGUAGCCGUGCCGGUUCAUGCAGAAAAUCUUCACUAUUAUGGACUUUUCCUAAAACAUAAAAAUAUAACAUAAGUAGAAUAAGGGGAUAAAUUGAAUGUUUGGGGCGAGCUUCCAAAAAGAAGCAUAGGGCGUAGUAUACUAUUAGCUGGAAGAGAAGAAAAAAGGCCCAUUACGCCAGUCCCUUUUUCAAUGAAUAGAAGAGAAGGAUGGAAAAAGGAAGAACGUCCGAUGGAAGACAUAAAAGAAAUAAAAAAAGUGGAACCAUGAUGAAUAAAAGACCCUCGAGACUUACGAGGUUCUUUAGAAAUAGGGUCGCUAGCACAGAAUAAAAAGCGCUAAUUAUCAAAAGCCACUUCGCCUCUUUCCCCUGUCAUGUCAGCAUUUGAAAAAAGUAUUAUCAAAUAGGGGAACCCCCCCGCUGUAUCGAAUUCUUUUAGUAUCCAGCCUGCUCCCUUUGUUCAGUCGGAAGACUAUGUCAGCAUUUUUAAAAAGUAUUGUCAAAUUGAGGACCCCCCCCCCUCGCUGUAUCGAAUUCAUUUAGUAUCCAGCCUGCUCCCUUUGUUCAGUCGGAAGACUUUUCUUUUGAAAAAGACUUUUUAGUCCCGUCCAACAAGAGAGGUAAAGCCUUUCUAUUCAAAUGAGACGCACUCCCAUUGUCUCGCUAAGGUCAGCAGCAGGACAUAGAGCAGGGAUUGAGUAGUCUUGGGAGGCGGACUUAUAUUCCCCGGUUACGAGUUGACGACGUUUUCACUACUCAAACUUGAAAAAGUCUUUUACACCUUCGGGAAAGCGUACCGGAAGACCCAACUUUCGCUUAAAAUCCCAGUUUGGAUGAGCAGAGUUAGGCUCGAUUUCGAUUCAUACUGAAAAAUAGGUGAAUAGUUGAUAGCAGAUGGGGAAACUUUCGCAUAAAACCCCAGUCUGGAUGAUCAGAGUUAGGCUCGAUUUUGAUUCAUACAGAAAAAUAGGUGAAUAUUUGAUAGCAGAUGUGGUCAAGCUAAAGGCAGAGCUUGAAUUGGAUUUUCCAGUUGGAAAUUCGUUAGAAAAGCUGUACCUUGACAAUCCCCACGAUGCUUCUGCCAGCCAUCAUCGUAGGGACGAAGAGAUUCCCAAAACCACAACAAUAGACUCAUUCUGCACCAGCCCACUAGCAAAACAAAAGGCAAGGAACUUCUUUGACUAGUAUAGUAUCGGGAACAUGCCUAGAAGAGGAUUUCAGAAUUCCAGAGGCGCGCAAACAAAGCCAUGCUUACUUCAUCUUCACUUCAUGCUUAUACACCUGCUGGACUGUCUAUCCUUCCUUGCUUUACGCGCAAACAAAGACAUGCUUACUUCAUCAUCACUUCAUGCUUAUACACCUGCUGGACUAUCUAUCCUUCCGUGGUUUUGAUUAGAUGGAUUAUAUCAUCCAAGAGCUUAAACUAAGAGGCCAAUACUUUAAGGAACGAACUAGCAAGUCUUAUCUUAUACCUUACCUCAACUAAAAAAGCUAACGAGAAUGUCGAUUCCAUGCCUUAAGGCUGACUGACGCUUCCCUCUUUCCUGGUCUCCAUUACCCUUCUCCCGAAAAUGCUUUUUCAUCGCUCUGAGCUCAUCAAGUGGAAUAGUUAAUUACGUUUAACAAUCUUAACGCUUCCGUCUUUCCUGGUCUCCAUUACCCUUCUCCCGAAAAUGCUCUUUCAUCGCUCUGAGCUCAUGAAGUGGAAUACUUAAUUACUUUUAUCAAUCUUCAGCAGCUUUAAGGUAAAGAUGCCAUUUGCAUGAUCCAAGGCCUUCCCUGUAAAAGGCUGUCGGAAGUCUCGUUCUCGAUCACAGAGCAAAUUACUUCUAUCUUAAGAUUUGCAAUUUGGCACUUGAGGCGAAUCUUGCCCAUAGCUUUCUGAGACUCAGCGUUGUUGUCUUAAUGCUGUUCCGCUUCCUGGUGGGAAUUCCGAGCUUCCUUAUCGUUUUUAGGGGUAUAACAUUUAUAGCUGACCCCGGAUCUACUUGCACUUGUCGGAGUUCUACUUCACAAAUAUAUCCUGAAAGGUAUAGUGGAUGAUUAUGGUGAAGGUCCCCUAGAAACAAAAAGUCUAUUCGAGAAAAUGUGAGGUGUGGCUCCUCCGCCUUCAUCUUCUCUUGUAUGCCUUGGUUCUCUUCUUGAGGUACAUCAUUCACCUCUAUCUGGUCUACACGGGGUGCAUACUUAUCGGCUUCUGAUAGAGCCUUGACACUUGUCGGAUGUAAGGUGACAACCUCAACAAGGUAAUUCUAGCUGGUAUAUUAGCUAGUUGUGCUAACAAAUCAUAAUCGAAAGGCUCAUCUAAGCCGAGCAAUGCUUUCUUCUUCACCAUAGAGUUUACAUUCUACACUCUCGAGAAAUUUAUUGUGGUAAUCAAGCCCGCAGCGGGUUCUGUCUACAUCAUUUAGACUGACUAGGGUCGGUGUCUCUAUCUUCAGAAUCAGAUUUUGAAGCCAAUAUGGAUAUGGCACACUUACCAUGUUAGAGGACUGAAAAAGUGACAUAGGCAAGCAAUCUCCAAGUGUCAUAAGGGUUCUAGCAGUGCCCCCGGACUGAGGAACCGUACAAGACUUUUCGACCAAAAGACAAGUCUGUUCCUGCUCUGUUUUCGGUUCCCGAUUCAAUCUUCACCUUUUGUGAAUGAAGAAAGAGAGUGAAAGAGAAGAUAUCAGUGCAAUAGGUACAGAGGUACGAGAAAUAGUCUUCGUUCGGUUUGGCAGAAGAAAGCCGAGAAAACAAAUAGGAAGAGCACUAUGCAAGCUUAUAAUUAAGCUAAUAUAUAAAAUCUAUCACCACCUCAAGCAGUAAAACAAAGUCGUUAUGGAUAUGUUACUAACACAAACAACUAUGAAUGGUAUUCAUUGACAGGAGUGACCGCUUUCUAGUCGUAGUUGGUACCGCCCCUGUUCACUUCAGCAUGCAAGGAACACCUUCGGGAAGAAUCAAAGUUUUUCUCCUCUGCAAAGCUAUCAAUGCUUUAUUCAAGAUCUUUAGCAGUAGCAUGCAAGGAAUACCUUCGGGAAGAAUCAAAGUUUUUCUCCUCUGCAAAGCUGCCAAUGCUUUACUCAAGAUCAUUAGCAGUCGAUCGUUCAUUCUCCCUCCCCAGUGGCUUUCGAAAGCUCGACAUGAAAGAAUAAAGAAAAUAGGAAAAAAGAGUACGGGGAUAUUUAGCUAUUUAGCCUUAGAGAAAGGUGACUUGGUAAGACCAGAAUCUGGAACAGAGAUUGGAUGAAGAAUGGUAUGGGGAUAUUUAGCUAUUUAGCCUUAGAGAAAGAUGACUUGGUAAGACCAGAAGCUAGAACAGAGAUUGGAUGAAGAAUUGCUUUUUCUUUAGCGGGAAUGGUGCCACCUUUUUAUUUAGCAACUUCCGCCCCGCUUAAUAGGAAUAGGAUAGACUUACCGACCGGUGAAAGGAAAUAGCGGGGUCAGACAAAGGAAUACCGAACUCUACCCGUGUGAGGCCUCGUAGCCAUGGAGAACCAUAGAAUCAGAAGGUUAUAUUAGAACAUGGGUGGAAUGGUCGACAGGCACCUAAAAAUAGCUUUAGAAGCCAGAUUAGGAAACUGUUUCCCGAGUUCGAGCAAAUGCAAUGCGACAUCCAGGAAAAAAAGGGUUGUUGUCCGAUUUGCGCAUACAUCACUAAAGAAGAUAAGAAUCCACAUAUAUGGGGGAACACGUCAAAGGCCCAUGUUAUGGAAGUAGCAGAGGCUUAUGAGGGAAAGAAAAAAAAAGGGGGUGCUCCUAUGAGUGCAACCGACAUUAUAGAGCAGCUUGCGGGACAAAAUUCGUGGCCGGAAGUGUUCAGGCACGAACAGCUGAAGCUUGAGGGAAAGAAAAAAAAGGGGGUGCUCCUAUGAGUGCAACCGACAUUGUAGAGCAGCUUGCGGGACAAAAUUCGUGGCCGGAAGUGUUCAUGCACAAACACCUGAAGCAUAUUUUUCUACAAAGGUACCCGAGCAUGAAUGGCUCCUAUGACGACAUACAAGUCCUCAAACUAAUGGAAGAGGACCCUAAUAGAAAGAAAAGUAUAUGGUAGAAAAAGAAUGUUCCAGUUGUUGUGAUAGCGAAUGAACUACCAGAGUGCGUUGCUGCGAAUGGGCCUUUCCACGAGAGAUUCAUGGUCUUACACUUCCGCGAAAGGGUAAAUGAUCUCCAAGAAGAGAGGGUGGUAGCCACUUUAUGGGGCUGCAUACAACGAAGAAUGGAGAGAAUGAACCUAGAGAAAGGAAGUAAUCCCCAAGUGAAGAUGAAAUUCAAUGAUGAUGUCCUUAGGAUAAAAUAUAAAAAAGGAAGUGAGGACCCUAGAGAAAGGAAGUAAUCCCCAAGUGAAGAUGAAAUUCAAUGAUGAUGUCCUUAGGUUAAAAUAUAAAAAAAGAAGUGAGGACAGAACAAAUCAUCGUGAAGAAACCUUGAUCUCAGGAGAACAGAUGCUUGUGCAGGAAGGCGCAGGAAGGAUCGUCAUAAAAAAAAAGUAAGAAAAGGUUGAAAGAGGACUAGGGAGCCUCUCGAAAUCUCCGAUCUCACAGAUGGUUAGGCUGCAAUUUCUUCGCUUGUGAAGAAGCUUAGCUAGUUCUCCUUCCUCGGACAUUCUGUUCGCCUGCCCAUGCUUCAAGAUUGAAGUUUUCACCAGAAAUCUCUGUAAAAAAAAGAACGUUGUAACGAGAUCGCAUAGGUCCAACAUAAUCCUCCUAACAGGCAGCCAAAGAUGGGCGAGGAUCAAUUAGUUAGCUAACGAAGAACCAGAAAUCUCUGUAAAAAAAGACAUUGUAACGAGAUCGCAUAGGCAACAUAAUCCUCCUAACAUGCAGCCAAAUAGGAAUGAUCAUUAUCAGGGGAUACAGAUAUGCCAUGCUAGGAUGAGUUAGGCUUUCAACAGCAUAAGCCACCUCCCAAGCGGCUUCCCUCCGGUGCCUUUGACUAUUGCUACGGUCAUCAACCGCAUCAUUGAAUUGAGACUUUCCACUUUGCUUUGGACUUGAAUGGAUCUACUUCUCCUCUGCCAGAUCGAUCUUCAUUAAGAGGGUCAACCCAAGCUAUUGCUCUACCUCCUCUCCUUAUGUUAUGGUAGAUUUUGAAUCCCUACUAGAUUUCUUACUCCUGAAAAAAGAGAAAUCAACAAUAAUGCACAAACGUGAAAAGUCUUACCCCGCAGGCUGACUCUUUCAAUCCAACUCUAUCGAAGGAGAAAAAAAGUUGGGACUAUGACUUGCUUAGUGCAGGGCUGCUUGUCGUGAUUGGUUGGACACUCUCUUCAUCUAAGGUCUUACCUUGGUCACUCUAUUAAGCUUUCCCAGCAAGUCUAUUGAAUGGGGUACGAAAGAUUGCUAUUCAAAGCAUCGUUAAGAGUUCUGUCUUCUAGGGAGUAGUCAAGAUAAGAUGACUCUGAUCUUUCCUUCUAUGGAGCCGGAUGUGAGCUUAUCGUUAUGUCUUCUAGGGAUUAGUCAAUAUAAGAUGACUCUGAUAUUUCCUUCAAUGGAGCAGGAUGUUAGCUUAUCGCCUACUGAUCUUACUCAAAAAGAUUCAAUGGGAGUAGACACAUCAAUAGCAGCAGACGCGGAGGAAGAAAUCCUUGCUCUUCGGGCUAAGAUGCUGACUUUGCCGUGGAAAGAGUAAUGAGAGGAAAGCCUUGACCUUCCCUUGUUCUACCCUUCGAACUCGGAGAUUGAAGAAGAUCACUCUAUGCAGCGACAGAGGCAAGAUCUCUAUAUGUUGAUAGAUACCCGAGAGACUGAGUCCUUGGGGGUUUGUUCUGCCCUUCAAACUCGGAGAUUGAAGAAGAUCACUCUAUGCAGCGACAGAGGCAAGAUCUCUAUAUGUUAAUAGAUACCCGAGAGACUGAGUCAUUGGGGGUGAGAGAAAGGAGGCAUUACUCCCAGAAAACGUGCAACCAACCUUUCCUUCCCGCUUCUUCCUUGAGAAGAGAAGGUAGGGGCUCUGUUUCCGCAUCCGUUCCAUAUCAGUAUUCAUUGUUAAGAUCUCCUGGUAGAAUCGAAUGGUAACUGAAUCAUUCCAAUAAUUCCGAACAAGUCCUGCAUGGGCUCUUUGUCGAAUGAGUUUGCAUUCCUCAAUCCAAUCAUUAAACUUCCGACAUCUAGAAUAACUCGCUGGAGCACCCCUCGAUUCACCUUUCAUUCCCAUAUGUAUCGGCUUUUUCUAAAUCGACAUAUCUAGGUUCUCCCAACCCAACAAGUACCCUUUCUUUCGAAAUGGCAUUGCCAAAAGUCGAAUUAAAGGCUUGACAGGAGAACUUCUCUUAGCCCUAUAGUUUUUCUCCGUCAAAAUUUUUUCCAAAUCAAAUGAUUCAAGACCUGAACUGAAAGAGAUUCUACAAACAAAGUUUUUCUACUCGGCCUUGAGAAGCUUGCAUCCUUUGGAUUCUUGGGACCUAACGAGCCAGGACAGCCUAUACUGAAGGAGAUAAAUUCAUAUCCUGCCGAUUUCUAGGGCUUUCGUUGCUUGGAUGUUAUUGCCCUUGCCCCCACGCCAGCUUGCUCUCUCAUCCCUCCCACCUUUUCCUAUACCUAUGAUUCUCCUUUAGUUCGGUUGUAGUUUCAUAGAUCUACAUGGGAAUCUUCGUCAGAUCGAUCAUGCAGUUACGGCCAAUCAGGCAGAUAUCGAUUGGCCUACCAGAGAGCUGACAUUAGAAGACUGACACCCACAACACAAACAAAGCUAGACGACAUACGAUCAAAAGUUCAGGAUGAUGUGAUCCAAGUCAAGUUAGAGGCAAAGUAGUUCCUUGAGUUUGUCCAUCGAGUCACUAGCACGCUUGCGAAGGGUAGAAAGCGGACAUAUGCCAUCGACUUGGAUGUGAAAAAAUUCCUGAAAUCCGCUCUUAGAGUUCGAGAAUCCAAGCGAUGGCAAGUCAGCUAGCAAACCAAGGGGCAAAGAAAGGGUCAAAAGUACGUUCCGUGCCUAUAGUCAUUCCUCUCUCUGGUAGCAAUCCGGUCUCCAGUCGAUGGUACUAUUUAAACGAGAAUGCCGUGUCGUCCAGCGCACUUGACCACUGCGAUCGAUCCGAUAAACCAAAGCAUCCUGGCCAACCGACUAACCAUUGAGAAUGGAACAAAUAGGGGAGAUUUAAUUCUUCUCUCUUGUCUUUCAACCCUUGCUCUUGCCUCGGCUUCGCCUUCCACCUUAUUAAGCUUUCGUGUUGUCCAACGCACUUGACCACUGUGAUCGAUACGAUAAACCAAAGCAUCCUGGCCAACCGACGAACCAUUGAGAAUGGAACAAAUAGGGGAGAUUUAAUUCUUCUCUCUUGUCUUUCAACCCUUGCUCUUGCCUCGGCUUCGCCUUCCACCUUAUUAAGCUUUGGACUUCCACCUUCACUAACCCGUGGGACGGGACCGACCUUCUCUUUUGUUUGUAAUUGGACUUGCCCGAAACAAAGGAACCUUGGCGUGAGAACCCUCUAGAUUAGGGAGAUCCAGCUCGGCUUCGCCUUCCACCUUAUUAAGAUUUGGACUUCCCCCUUCACUAACCCGUGGGACGGGACCGACCUUCUCUUUUGUAUAAUUGGACUUGACCGAAACAAAGGAACCUUGGCGUGAGAACCCUCUAGAUUAGGGAGAUCUAAAUAAGAGCUUGUUGCAUAUGCGUAGGAACCACCCCAUGCGGUGUGAGAAAAGCCCACUUGACUUCGGAAUGCCAACCUCUCUUAGCUUAGCCCUUUACGACCUUUUCCGCCUUCUCACUGCCAUUCAUCGGAUAAGACUACGUCACCUAAAUCAACAAAAAAGAGGAAGGCAUUUCUCAUUGUUGGCUAGCCUGGGCUCCACACCAGAUUUUCUCACUGCCAUUCAUCGGAUAAGACUACGUCACCUAAAUCAACAAAAAAGAGGAAGGCAUUUCUCAUUGUUGGCUAGCCUGGGCUUCACCCCAGAUUUUAUCUGAGAUGGCGAGAAUUCUUUCUUAAAGGCAUGGCUUAAGCCAACUCGGGACGGGAGGUUUUUCUACUACUAUUACAGCUCGUACAACCUUGAGGAAUCGAGACUAGUGUAAUAAGUUACUAGCCUAGUGCUACUCCUCCAUAGAAGACUUGCUAGAAUCGCUACCACCUUUUCUCUCGACUUUCCUUUGCCAAAUAAAUCCCACGUAUGAAGCUCUCAGAUUACGUACGAAUCAAUUAAACAAGCCAAACCAAUGGCUCUGUUCAAAAGCAUUAGUAGACGCGGAAAGAGAUCCUAUUCCCUAAGGACUUUGUUAUCGCUUUAAACUUCCCUAUUUCCCAUAGGAAGCCCAUCUUCAAAGCUACUUUCUCAACAAGCUCUAGCUCUAGGGCUUUGUAAAAACUCUCUUCUUUAUCAUACGAUACGAGGCAUCCAAAUCUGCAUUCCCAUCCCCUUCUGAACCCGAUGAGACAUCCGUCUCAGUCGAACCAAACUCUCGAACCCGUCCAGAAGUUGAGGAUGCAACUUACGAUUUAAUCUGUCUCAGUCGAACCAAACUCUCGAACCCGUUCGGAAGUUGAGGAUGCAACUUACGAUUUAAUCAAUUAAAAAAAGGUUUAGCCAUAAAGAUUCAGGUUAAAGAGAGUUCUAACGUGGGGAGCGACGGCAUAUAAUUACCUUAAAAGGGGGUGCCCUCCCUGAGACUUCCUCAGUCAUAGUUUUCUGCUUGAUAGACUAACUAAUUACUAAAAAGAAUUGCCAGAUCAACCAUCAAUCGUUCCUUAUGAUUCUAGGGGUUUAGGAUAGGAAGAGGGCUAAGCUCAACUCAAAGAUGCUAAAUAAGGGCAUUCAUUAGAAUUUCAAUGCGCAUUGAGCGAGUAGUUAGUUCAGGUCUUUUUGUAUGAGAGAUCUCGUUCCAACAGUUUUUCCGUGAAGGCUCUCUUUUAUUUUCAGGAUGGAACCUUUGUUCAGGACCACAGGACGGGAUAGGGUCCCGUUGAAUUAUACCUACCUGGUAAACCCCGCCACAGCGGUCGUUUUCUACCUCUCGAAAGAUAGUGUCCCGUUGAAUUAUACCUUCCUGGUAAACCCCGCCACAACGGUCGUUUUCUACCUCUCGAACACAUGGAUGCCAAGCUCCUUUUCAUUAAGAUUUUAGGACUCCUAGUUCUAACUUCAAUCUUGGAGAAAGGUGAGUGUGCUAGGAUUGGGCUAUUAGAUCGAGCAAGGUUAGUAAUGGAGGCAAGGCAAAAGUCAUGCACUGGGUACCGCCGAAACGAAUAGCUAACAUAGUUAUCCCGGUGAUUUUGCCCGAAGAGUUUAGGGCAGAGUCUGAUUAUGCUCCUCCAACAGUUCACGCCAAACGUUGUACUUCACAAAAGGUAGAAAACAAAGAACAGUAGAGUCUUAUUAUGCUCCUCCAAUAGUUCACGCCAAACGUUGUACUUCACAAAAUAUAGAAAACAAAGAACCAAAUCCUGAGACUAGGGUGCCCACUCUCAGAAAAAAAAGAAGAAGUGGCUCAUGCCGGUGAAAGAAGCAAUAAAAGAGAAGUCUGAUUCCUAAUCGAAAACCGUUUUUCUGAAUGAAGUUAGAAAGAAGUUCAAUUGCUCCAGAAGGAAGGCGGUAGGUGGGCUUAGAUAAGAAAUAUAGUAUUUUCUUCUCUAUAUCAAUUCUUCGAUAAAGCAAGAGACAACUAUAAAAAAACUGACUUUUCCAUUUACCGGAAGAAAGGUCGUCAAACUGAGCGUCUGAAUAAAAGGACUCAGUUCCCCUGAACGGCCUAAUGUCCGCCGCCUCUAGCCGAUGCGCACUAUAAUGAGUUCAAAUGCUUUCCUUUCUCCAUACCUCCUACCCUCUGAACUUCUUGGAUUGAGCUGGUCCAAAGUGUUUCCGGCAAAGCUAGGAACGCGCGUUUGGGUCAAUUAUUUCAAAUCUCAGUGCACAAACUGAAUGUUGUAUGGUCAAUUUAAGGCUAGUCAGUUUUCGGACUCUCAAACCUUUCGGCCCUGUGUUAACCACAUAGAAGAGACGAUUCAUUCUAUUCCCUCGGUUAUAUUUGACUAAGAUCCAGAGGAUAUCCCAAAGUGGGCAUUCGGGCUCAUUUCUCCCUUCAAGGUCGCAUUCCUCUUAACCAUAGGGUUUUCUUGCUCGCCCGUAACUCCUCUGUUGGCAUUGGUUAGUUUUUGGUAUGGCUACUGAUGAUUUGAUUCAAUACAGCGGAUGAGGAAAAUCCAAAAAGCUUAGACACAAUAGAAAGUAAGGAAGAUAGAAGGUGGGUAGCGAGGAAGAAAUACAAUAGCCCGCUCACGAUUCAACUUCCUAUUCAAGUGAAUCCGCCUGGAGCGAACCAGGUUUUAGUAUCUUUCCCCGUAGCUUUCUUUAUUUAUUCUUUAUCGCUUGAUCUUUCUUUUCGUUGUUGAAUCUCUCUUUGAUUGAUCAAUGUGUGACAUUCCUUUCCAAGAUAAACCAUUCGAAUGCUACUAAACGAGAAGAAGAGUCUAUUUGAACAGGGCACAUGCAUCACACAUAAGAAAGACGCCGAAAGACAACCAAGAAAUUUGUCCGUUUCGGCCUACUUUGGCCUUUAUACGAUAAAGUACAUCAAGAAGCUUCUAAUUGCAAUAGAAGGGUCCAGGUCAGAAUUUGCAGGUAGUUAGUCGCUUUCUCUGUAGGAAAAGACCUUAGGCUGUACAACAACUCCGCUAUUCUCCCUUUCAAGUAGGAGUUCAACGGAGCUUUAUUUAAAGAACAUUAACCACCACUUCGACUGAUGCGGACGCGGUGAGUUCAAUGGAGCUUUAUUUAAAGAACAUUAACCACCACUUCGACUUAUGCGGACGCGGUUCUCUCGUCGUGAAAGAAGUAAUGAAAGGGAAGAUCGGGAUCAAAGAGCAUUCGUUGUUGCCUGUAUAGCUUUCUAGAGCAUAGAUCUAGCAAUGCAUUCUAGGCACAAAUCAUUAGUAUUGGAUGUAUGGUUAGGUUGUGCCGAGUCAAAUCUGCUCCGUUUUUUCCGUUGCAGAAAACAGAUCCCUUCCCCUCGCUUUCAAAAAUGAUGAAUAUGAAGUCCAGGAGGCUGCAGGUACUAUGGAUCCUCUGACACCCAAUCGGGUUGCCUUCCCAGGUCUCGCCGAUGUUGCCUCUAGGUCGUGAUGUGCCUUGAGAUGGCCGACUCCUGUCCCCCUUCCAGUGGGGAACCCGCUCCCCGGUCGUCGCUCUGCUGCUUCUGGCCCGUCUUCUAGGCACCUUUGGAAGGCAGGGAGUGUAACAACGUACACUCUUCCCUUUACUCCAUAGGGCCUUCUCAUCAGUAGAAGGAUUUGGUGGCCCGAAAUUGACUUGGCUUUGCCAAAAGGCCUCAUCUCUAAAAGCCCGGCUCGCGAGGCGUCCCUCUCGCAGUAGGGUUCCAACCCUCGCCUCGCUCUUGUGACAUGCUAUGUUUCCCCUCUCUAUUCCCAAGUAAAGGGUGAGUCCCAUGCGUCAGUUUGUGGAUCGCGGUCUCACACACUAAUCCCUACAGGUGCCCCCAGUAGGCCGGCCGCCGUACCUAAACCAAUCAUCAUAUUGGUCCCUAGGCCCCAUUGCUGGAAAGGCUCGGCUGCAAAAUCAUACGUGGAGCUUCUGCCUCAUACGGCUCCUCUAGGGAUGGAGGUAGGCCCAGCCCAGGCUUGUGCGGUUAAGGUUGUUGUACACGAUCUCCAUUUUAGUAGUCCUAGCUAUCCACUCCACUAUGUGGUAGAGUGUUCGUCCCCACCCCUUCGCAGGGGUACCUUCC
This 14540-nucleotide long non-coding RNA is filed under the name Nicotiana benthamiana. RNAcentral describes it as "long non-coding RNA (NBEN_LNC017120)". Lineage: Eukaryota; Viridiplantae; Streptophyta; Magnoliopsida; Solanales; Solanaceae. The record is from RNAcentral.